RNAcentral lists this ribosomal RNA (756 nucleotides) under uncultured bacterium. Its description in RNAcentral is "bacterial SSU rRNA". It matches the Rfam family "Bacterial small subunit ribosomal RNA", at positions 8 to 796 of the family's 1533-position model. The record is from RNAcentral.
AGAGUUUGAUCAUGGCUCAGAAUCAACGCUGGCGGCGCGCUUAACACAUGCAAGUCGAGCGAGAAAGUGGAGCAAUCCAUGAGUAAAGCGGCGUACGGGUGAGUAACACGUGGGUAAUCUGCCUUUUAGUGGGGGAUAACCCUGGGAAACCGGGGCUAAUACCGCAUAAUCCUGUGAAGGGAAAGCAGCAAUGCGCUGAAAGAGGAGCCCGCGGCCGAUUAGCUAGUUGGUGAGGUAAUGGCUCACCAAGGCGGUGAUCGGUAGCCGGCCUGAGAGGGCACACGGCCACACUGGCACUGAAACACGGGCCAGACUCCUACGGGAGGCAGCAGUGGGGAAUCUUGCACAAUGGAGGCAACUCUGAUGCAGCGACGCCGCGUGAGCGAUGAAGCCCCUCGGGGUGUAAAGCUCUUUCGGCAGGGACGAUAAUGACGGUACCUGAAGAAGAAGCUGCGGCUAACUACGUGCCAGCAGCCGCGGUAAUACGUAGGCAGCGAGCGUUGUUCGGAAUUACUGGGCGUAAAGAGUGUGUAGGCGGCGCUCUAAGUUCGGUGUGAAAUCUCUCGGCUUAACUGGGAGGGUGCGCCGGAAACUGGAGUGCUCGAACGUGGGAGAGGAAAGCGGAAUUCCUGGUGUAGCGGUGAAAUGCGUAGAUAUCAGGAGGAACACCUGCGGUGUAGACGGCUUUCUGGACCAUUGUUGACGCUGAGACACGAAAGCGUGGGUAGCAAACAGGAUUAGAUACCCUAGUAGUCC